CAUUAAGUGGCUGAAAUGCAAGCAAUGAUCUCUUAAAUCAUAUUAUAAUAUAACUAGCAAAUAUUCUUAAUGA
This 73-nucleotide transfer RNA is filed under the name Corynis sp. RNAcentral's name for it is "tRNA-Lys". The record is from RNAcentral. Lineage: Eukaryota; Metazoa; Arthropoda; Insecta; Hymenoptera; Cimbicidae.